UACGGAGGGUGCAAGCGUUAUCCGGAUUUACUGGGUUUAAAGGGUGCGUAGGCGGGUUGAUAAGUCAGUGGUGAAACCUCCGAGCUUAACUCGGAAACUGCCAUUGAUACUAUCAGUCUUGAAUUCAGUUGAGGUGGGCGGAAUGUGUCGUGUAGCGGUGAAAUGCUUAGAUAUGACACAGAACACCAAUUGCGAAGGCAGCUCGCUAAACUGACAUUGACGCUGAGGCACGAAAGCGUGGGGAGCAAACAGG
Molecule: ribosomal RNA, 253 nt
Filed under: uncultured bacterium
Lineage: Bacteria
Also listed under: 1 other name
Description: partial 16S ribosomal RNA
Rfam family: Bacterial small subunit ribosomal RNA
Source: RNAcentral